RNAcentral lists this long non-coding RNA (423 nucleotides) under Parus major (Great Tit). RNAcentral describes it as "lncRNA (ENSPMJG00000002267.1)". Lineage: Eukaryota; Metazoa; Chordata; Aves; Passeriformes; Paridae. The record is from RNAcentral.
UUUUCACCUUUCAGCUUCGUGUCAGAAACCAGAGUGAAGCUUGUGCUGACCCGGCAGGACAGAAGGAGAAGCCUGAGGGAACAGGAAAUAGAGUAAUUCAGCGCUCAGUGCUCUUUGACCUUCACCCAGUGUACAACAAUGUGAUUUACAAAUCGUAAUGAAGUUUCCAGGACCAGAAGUGUUAAUCAGUAUGCAGUUGAGGGUCCAUAAAAUUCACUUAACUAGAAUGCAAGAUCAGAUGAGAGGUAAGUAUGUCACAUAAAAAAAUGAAGGUAAUGUUCACUUAGGCAUAGUGUGAAUGAUUGACAAGAUGUGUGGGAUUUCUUCAGUCAUUCCUGCAUAAGCUUUGCUGGUUGAAGGAGAUUACAUUUGCUUGUGAAGGCAGACUGACUCUUUAUAAUAGCAUUAGCCAUAUCAGGUAUU